This 1245-nucleotide ribosomal RNA is filed under the name metagenome. RNAcentral describes it as "bacterial LSU rRNA". It matches the Rfam family "Bacterial large subunit ribosomal RNA", at positions 1564 to 2820 of the family's 2925-position model. The record is from RNAcentral.
UGAGUACGAGAUGCUACGGCAUCGAAGCAGUCUAUGUCAUACUUCCAAGAAAAGCUUGCACUGUCAUAAACAAAGAAUGCCUGUACCAUAACCGACACAGGUGGGUAGGUAGAGUAUACUAAGGGGCGCGAGAUAACUCUCUCUAAGGAACUCGGCAAAAUGACUCCGUAACUUCGGGAGAAGGAGUGCCUUAUUUCUAAGGUUGCAAUAACAAGAUCCAAGCAACUGUUUACCAAAAACACAGGUCUCCGCUAAGUCGUAAGACGAUGUAUGGGGGCUGACGCCUGCCCAGUGCCAGAAGGUUAAAGAAGUUGGUUAGCAUUAGCGAAGCUGAUAACUGAAGCCCUGGUGAACGGCGGCCGUAACUAUAACGGUCCUAAGGUAGCGAAAUUCCUUGUCGGGUAAGUUCCGACCCGCACGAAAGGCGUAAUGAUUUGGAUACUGUCUCGGAGAGGGGCUCGGUGAGAUAGACUUGUCUGUGAAGAUGCGGACUACCUGCACCUGGACAGAAAGACCCUAUGAAGCUUUACUGUAACUUGAGAUUGAAAUUGGACUUUAUUUGCGCAGUAUAGGUGGAGGCGUUGAGAAUAAUCUUGCGGGAUUGUUGGAGCCAUCAGUGAGAUACCACUCUUGUAAUGUUAGAUUUCUAACUUUGUAUCAUUAUCUGGUCAAAGAACAGUUUCAGGCGGGCAGUUUGACUGGGGCGGUCGCCUCCCAAAGGGUAACGGAGGCGCACAAAGGUUUCCUCUGAACGGGUAGAAAUCGUAUCUAGAGUGUAAAGGCAUAAGGAAGCUUGACUGUGAGACCUACAAGUCGAGCAGGGACGAAAGUCGGUCUUAGUGAUCUGACGGUGCUGAGUGGAAAGGCCGUCACUCAACGGAUAAAAGUUACUCUAGGGAUAACAGGUGAUCUCCCCCAAGAGUUCACAUCGACGGGGAGGUUUGGCACCUCGAUGUCGACUCAUCGCAUCCUGGGGCGGUAGUCCGUCCCAAGGGUUGGGCUGUUCGCCCAUGAAAGCGGUACGCGAGCUGGGUUCAGAACGUCGUGAGACAGUUCGGUCCAUAUCCGGUGUAGGCGUUAGAAUAUUGAGAGGAGCCUUCUCUAGUACGAGAGGACCGAGAAGGACAUACCUCUGGUGUACCAGUUAUCGUGCCAACGGUAAACGCUGGGUAGCUAUGUAUGGAGUGGAUAACCGCUGAAAGCAUCUAAGUGGGAAGCCCACCUCAAGAUAAGUAUUCUCAUCUA